Non-coding RNA from Schizosaccharomyces pombe (fission yeast), 506 nucleotides. The record is from the annotation of a GenBank genome assembly. Lineage: Eukaryota; Fungi; Ascomycota; Schizosaccharomycetes; Schizosaccharomycetales; Schizosaccharomycetaceae.
CGGUUUCUCAGGCCUUCAUUUUUUUUAAACCUCAAAAUUUAACUUUUGAACAAUUCGUCACGUACAUCAAACAUCAUAAACGUUUACGAAACGCAUUGUCCCAAAAAUAGUAAACUGGCUAAGCAAUAAAACAAAAAAUACACAUAUGUUUCUUAUAAGACCUUUAAUAAGAAAGCCAAAAAAUAUUUACUCAGCAAAGCUUUAAUCUAACCAUUGUUCACUGACUCUCGCUUUACUGAAGCAACAUCGCUAAUGAUCAUUUUACGUUUAAAAAAAAAUAGAGUGUAUACGAAAGCAAAACAAAACAAACAAAACAGAACAAAACAAAAAUAAUGUAAACCCAAAGUAUAAUCAAAAACCAUCAUCAGCCUUAAAAUCUCUUAUACAUGCAUACAAAUCUUUUGGAAUAGAAUAAAUAUAUCGCUUUUACUCUUUUUUUGUUCUGAAUUCCCAACCUCUUUUUAAUUGCCAAAAGUUAUUAAUGCUUCCUUCUUACUUGUCUUCGA